RNAcentral lists this ribosomal RNA (301 nucleotides) under uncultured bacterium. Its description in RNAcentral is "partial 16S ribosomal RNA". It matches the Rfam family "Bacterial small subunit ribosomal RNA", at positions 509 to 810 of the family's 1533-position model. The record is from RNAcentral.
CAGCAGCCGCGGGAAUACGGAGGGAGCUAGCGUUGUUCGGAAUUACUGGGCGUAAAGGGAGCGUAGGCGGACAUUUAAGUCAGGGGUGAAAUCCCAGAGCUCAACUCUGGAACUGCCUUUGAUACUGGGUGUCUUGAGUGUGAUAGAGGUAUGUGGAACUCCGAGUGUAGAGGUGAAUUCGUAGAUAUUCGGAAGAACACCAGUGGCGAAGGCGACAUACUGGAUCAUUACUGACGCUGAGGCUCGAAAGCGUGGGGAGCAAACAGGAUUAGAUACCCCUGUAGUCCCUGUCCUUAUACAC